This 31-nucleotide non-coding RNA is filed under the name Mus musculus (house mouse). Lineage: Eukaryota; Metazoa; Chordata; Mammalia; Rodentia; Muridae. The record is from RNAcentral.
UAAGAUGCCACAACAUGAUCCUUCUGCAACU